UGGCCAACUCUUCUGGAAGGGCUGAAGAACUGUUAUCCCUCUGCAGUACAUGGGGGUUUGAGCUCACGUCAAUGUGCCUGACCUAAGGGCAAAUGGAGCUAAGCAGGAGGGAGAAUUAGACACUUGCCACGGCUUGGAGACAGGGUCUACUGCUCUCUGCUGAACCAGAGGAAAGAACACACUGGCUCCUGAACCUUCGCAGGAAGACAAGGCGAGGGCUGCUGGGUGCCCGUCGCUGCUCACAGCACAGAACGUCCCACUCCUCAGACUCUUUGUCCCCGUCCUAAGACUGUCCUUCACUUGGUCCAUCCAAUCCAAAAUAUGGGCAUACGAAACACACCUCAUCCUUCACACACACAACAUGCUCAACCUUCACUAGCCACGUGACUUUCUUUCUCACAUCAUCCUGAAUUUGCUUUUCUGAAAUUUACUUUUCAAUCUUCUGACUUUUCUUCAUACCUAAGAAGACUGGACAAAGUGCUUGAAAAGCAAAUGGAAACAUUUUAUGAAUAACUACGCAAAGGAAAGACAUAUAAAUAUUUUUAAAGUUUCCCUUCUACAGAAAUGAGCUUAAGUCAACACUACAGUUGCCACUAAGUGUAAGGAUUCGUGAAGGGGAAAACGACGGACUCCCUUCCCUCUGUUCUUCUCAAGUAAUGCAAAUUAGAGAAGAGACGGGGGCGGGGAGAGAAGAGGAAUGCUGAAAGGGCAUUAUGCUUUUGCUAUUUAGUAAAAGAAGUAUCAACAUGCCUUCUGAUGACUCCUGAACAUCCCUUACAAAUGAAGGAGCCACAGAGUGGGGCAACUCCAUGCCUUUAUCACUCAGCCAGCCAAGGAAGAGGAAGACAAUCAAGCCACACUUGACAAGGGACAAGACCAUUCACUUUCAGGGCCAAGGGGAUUAGGACAGAGCAGCAUUUUCCCAUAGUGACAAGAGGAAACAAGAGAAUCGAAAGCAUCUUUCAAUUCCAUUCUGAGUCAAAGAGGUUGUUCUUGCAGCCCAACUGGGAACCUACAUGCAAACCAGUUCUAUGAGAAAAUAUGUCCCCAAAUUCCAGGAUAUCUGCUUCCCAUCCUCAGUUAGCAUACCUCCGUUUUAUAAUGUAAAAAAAAAAGGGAAAUCAGGAUUCACCUAAAUGAAUAUCAAUCAAAUGGAUAUUCCACAACUCAAGUGAUACCUGUGAACCCGAGGUGUUAGUAAACUUAAGGGUCACCAUCUACAGACUCCACAGGGAUGGGAGAUACUCUUGUGCUCCUAUGGUUGGGGCUGCCUCUAUAUCCUUUGCUUUAAAAUUCAGAAGGAGUGAAGAUCAGCUCAGGCAAUAAUGCUGGUUUGUCCCAGAGUCCAGAAUCUGCUAUGUUACCCAGAGUCUCUUAUGCUCAAAGAGGCUGUCAAAGAACGGGGUGUGGCUACCGUGGCCUCCCAGGGGCAAGUGGUCACACUCCAGCCUCACAAAGUGAGCACUGACUGUAGAGGUUCCACUAUGGUCAUGGUCUUAGCAAUAUGCAGGAAACACAGUCCAACCAUUCAUUGUCAUCUGGGUAAAAUACAAUUAAACAUCAAAGACUUGAGUCUCACAUAGUGACAUCAAAAUCUUUCCCUCAAGGCAAAGAAACAACUUGUCACAUGCACUUAAAAGAGGUUCUAUAAGUUAACAUUAGAGAGAGGAGGAGAAGGUACAAAACCCUGGGAGAGAAAAACACAUAAUUCUCUCAAAUUAGUGUCUUCCAUGGGCUGAAAACAUCUAUUAAAUGGGGACUUUGAUCCUAAAGAAAAAACGACAAAAGAAUGUUGCUCGACCUCACCUCUAUCAACUUUCCUCUGUUUCACCUGGAAUGUGUAACUCAGCUGUCCACAUCUUGGACCACUUGACCAUGCUGUGUGAUCCUAAGGACAUAACCCAAAAGGCAAUCUCCAAACUCACGGUGUCGUCACCAAUUCAACAUUUCUAUUUUAAUGUGGGAUCAACUUGUCAUGGUCACAAUGCUGAUUAUGACUUCCAUCCAGUUUUCCUUCUAUACAUGUCCAAACAUGUCACCAACAUGACCCCAUUGACUCGGGACUUGUCAGGGGUGAGAUAUGAAAGGAUUCAGAUCUGUUUUGUUCCUGCGUGGGGUCCCAGAACUACUUCCAGCAGCAAGACAGUUAAGAGACACAUUGGAUGAGGCAACAGCGGGGAAGAAAGGGAGCUGAUCUUGAAUUGGCUGUGUACUGACAGAUUGUAUGAAUGAAAGCAAUAAAAAUAAGCCCCAAAAUCUGGGUUUUGAGUGGAAA
This 2275-nucleotide long non-coding RNA is filed under the name Homo sapiens (human). RNAcentral's name for it is "non-protein coding CELF2-AS2:4". The record is from RNAcentral. Lineage: Eukaryota; Metazoa; Chordata; Mammalia; Primates; Hominidae.